UACGUAGGGAGCGAGCGUUGUCCGGAAUGAUUGGGCGUAAAGGGCGUGUAGGCGGCUUCUUAAGUCUGAAGUGAAACCCCUGGAUUCAAUUCAGGGCCUGCUUUGGAAACUGGGGAGCUUGAGUGCAGGAGAGGUUAUCGGAAUUCCCGGUGUAGCGGUGAAAUGCGUAGAGAUCGGGAGGAACACCAGUGGCGAAGGCGGGUAACUGGACUGUAACUGACGCUAAGGCGCGAAAGUGUGGGGAG
This 245-nucleotide ribosomal RNA is filed under the name uncultured Clostridia bacterium. RNAcentral describes it as "partial 16S ribosomal RNA". It matches the Rfam family "Bacterial small subunit ribosomal RNA", at positions 524 to 768 of the family's 1533-position model. Lineage: Bacteria; Bacillati; Bacillota; Clostridia. The record is from RNAcentral.